This is a long non-coding RNA of Passer domesticus (house sparrow), 561 nucleotides long. RefSeq lists it as uncharacterized. The transcript has 4 exons. Lineage: Eukaryota; Metazoa; Chordata; Aves; Passeriformes; Passeridae. The record is from RefSeq and is a predicted model, not a curated record.
UUUUUUUUUUUGUUUUGUUUUGUUUUGUGUUUUUCUUGGAGAGGCAUCCACAGAAGCAUAACAUUUUUUUAGUCAAAACUCCCCAACAUGAACAUGGGAAGACCAAAAGUGCAGAUUCUGUGUCACAAACGGAAAGAAUUCAAGAGUUACAAUGAAGCUGCAAAAUAUCUAGGAAAAGAAAAGUUUAGACAAAAUAAUCUCUGAACUAUGGCAGUUCUAAACCAAAAUGCUAAUAACUGAAGGAAAUGGUUUUGACAAGACAUUGAUAACAACAUGGGAAAGAAAUGCUGUUUCUCAUCAUUUGUACCUGCACAAACAUUCUGAUCCUGGCAGCUGUUUCUUUUACUUCAGCAAGACAACCAUGUACUGUGAGCCAAUUUGUGAUCCAGUUAUUCCAGGAACCAAAGGGAGAGGCACAACUUCCUCGCUAUAUUCUUCUUAAUGGCUUUGAAGUUGUGGUCUUUUUACUCCUACAGACUCUGUCUGUGCUUUGAAAUAUCACUAACAAAGCAAACAAUAAAACAAUUUUUUUUUUCAGCCCUGUACCAUGUUUUCAGCAUU